Long non-coding RNA from Oenanthe melanoleuca, 1504 nucleotides. RefSeq lists it as uncharacterized. The record is from RefSeq and is a predicted model, not a curated record. The transcript has 5 exons. Lineage: Eukaryota; Metazoa; Chordata; Aves; Passeriformes; Muscicapidae.
UUCACCGCCUUGGAAUUACAGCUGGGAAAUGCUUCUGGAAAAACAGAAGAUGUGCUGGAGGAAGAUAGUGUUGUCUCCCUGGCCUGGCAGGUCACAGCUGGAAGUAACCAUGAGGUAUUUCACAGUGGAAGGGAAGGAUGAAACACUAGGGAGAGAAACUGCUUGAAAACUGAAAUAAGGGAAAUGAGAGCAAAAGCUGCAGCAGUCACUGAUUGUAGAGCUGCUUUUCACACACAGCUCUGGGAUCUGCCCUGAAAUCCCAGCUUGUUUUCCCAGGAGUUUCCACUCCUCCUGGAAGGAGGAUUCACAGACUCAACCUUCCCCAGCUCUCAGACCUUCUUGUGCAAUCCAUGUCCCAUCGUAGACACGUCUGGGAGAAUUGCAGAGAUUUCCUGAGAGUGCUGCCAUGGAAAUUCCUGAGAUUUCUGGUUUUCUGGAGCAGCACUGAGGUCAUCGCAGCCGGCCGCGCUUUUAUUUCAGCGCGGUUGUCUCGGCAACAGGGGCAGAAACAAAACACAGGGUCCAGCACAGAGAAGUUUCCUGGCUGCUGGGGCUCAUUUUUCUUCACGAGCUGGAUUUGGGAGGCAGCAGAGCAGCCACUCAUGGAAAACUCGAAUGUCUUUUCCCUGUCUGCUCCCCCGUCUCUCUCUCCUCCGCAGCAACGGAGAUAAAGGUUACACAUCUGGUUCAGAUCUGCUCUGUUUAACCAAAAAAAAAAAAAAAGGAAAAAAAGAAGGGAAAAAAAAAAGAAAAAAAAGCCGUGCUCCUGCUGUGCCAUAAAUCAUCCCACAGCUGGAGCGCACUCGGGCUCUCGCUGGGGCUGUUUAUCCCGCCACGUCCCACUGAGCCCCGGGGUUUGCUUUCCCCAGAGCUGCCUGCUGCCAUUUUGAGUGAUCCCCGGCCUCUGGGCAAGGUCUGGGAAGUUGAAAUUCAUCGUGGACUAAAGUUUUGGGGGUUAAAACCAGCCGGGAUGCUCAGCUCACAGGGAUGGCGCUUGCUUGCAGUGAGCUCCCUGCCAGGUGCUGCUCCCCAGGAGCAGCUAUUCUGCCCCCAAAACACUUAUGGGGCUGCAAAACAUAGGCAGGAAGCAACAGAGCACCUAGAAAAUCUAGGAUCUUCUAAAUCCCCUUCUUCUAGCUUAUCAUCUCCACCUUGCUCCAGUGAUUUUGGGGUUGGGACUUGCAAUAUUUCCAUCCCGCAAGCAGAAGAUCCCUGGCCAAAGAAAUGCCCACACUUCUGCCCCAGUGAUCCAAAGAUCCUUUGCUGCAGGCUCAGCUGCUCCAAGUUUAUCUGCAUCUCUGCUCAAGCACUUGGAUACAGUCCUAAUUUCCAGGAAUGCCCAGCAUCAUUUUCCUUGAACUCCUGACCUUGCAAUGUCGACACUGGCAGUGUAGGGCACUGCUGGAAAACCCAGGAAGGAUCUGGGCAGGUACAUCUGAGCAUCUAGAGAGUUCUAGACUGGCUUCUUUCACUCAUGUAAUAAAUUUAAUACUGGCUAAUAAAA